RNAcentral lists this long non-coding RNA (1352 nucleotides) under Canis lupus familiaris (dog). RNAcentral's name for it is "lncRNA (ENSCAFG00000059207.1, ENSCAFG00845019667.1)". Lineage: Eukaryota; Metazoa; Chordata; Mammalia; Carnivora; Canidae. The record is from RNAcentral.
AUCUUUGGAAGGAUAAAUGAGAAACUGCUAAGUUUGUCUCUGGGGAUGGAGAUCAAGUGGCUGGGUGAUAGGAGUCAAGUAGACUGAAAUCACUGUGUAUUUGAACUUCAGGGUGACAGGAAAAAAUUAUGAGAGGUUUAUUUUUUCAUUCCUUACAUAUACCUUAUAAACCUUUAUAGUUUACAAACCUGUGAAAUGUGACUAGAUUACCUUUCAAAGCAUAGAUAAAUAAAAGAAAACAAAAGCAUAGCUUUGAAAUCAGAUACAUGUAGGUUCUAGUUCCACUUUCCUCACCUUCUUGCUCUGUGAUAGGGGCGGAUAAGUCCCUUCUUCAGAGCUAUCUGGGCAAAUGGGUUUAAUACAUGUUUUGCAGGAUAAUAGGGAUUAUCAAUAAUGUUGGGGUGGCACUCAGCACAGUGCCUGGCACUGAGGAGAGUUCAGGAAAUGGUGGGUAUCAUUAUCUUGAGGAAUUUAUCUUGCACUAGAGGGUAAGCACAAUGAGAAGCAGGGUAGCCUAGUAUUAACAAAAGAAAGAAAUAAACCCCACAAAACUCAUCUCCCUGAAUAUUUUUUCCUGUCACAACUGAAGCUCAAACACACGGUAACUCCAGUCAUCCUUGACUUUUCUCAGCAUUUUUCUGGGUUGCUUAGUGGGUCUCAGCCUUGGCUGCACAGUAGAGCCUCUGGGAGCUUUAAAAAUGCCUAUGUUCCAUUCUCAGGGAUUCCCGCCUCAUCGAUAUGGGAUAGGGCCUGGGCAUUGGUAUUAAAAAAGAGAAAAGACCUUUCCAGGUGGUUAAAAUGUAUAUUCAAAGUUAAGAAUUACUCAAGAGCAACGUAGAAUUCCUUAAGCUUCUAGAAGGGCCCACCUCCUGGGGAAUUGAAGAAGAGUUUGAGAAUUUCUUCUCACUGAAGACAGAAGUUUUGAGAACCUAUGGAAAUGUGUCAGCCUUCCACACACAGUUCUUAUGUCAGUUCCUCCAGCUUCUCUCUGAUACUCUGUUACUGAAAUGAGUUAGGUUUCACUUUAGAACCUAUUUUUCUUUGGUAUUGCUUUUUGGACAGUUCUGCUUGUAACAGUUCCCAUUAAACAAGUAGAGGGAAAAUGCCAUCCUCUGUUUAAUAAUUGGUAUUUGAGGGCAGCCCUGGUGGCCCAGCGGUUUGGCACUGCCUUUGGCCCGGGGUAUGAUCCUGGAGACCGGGGAUGGAGUCCCGCGUCGGGCUUCCUGCAUGGAGCCUGCUUCUCCCUCUGCCUGUGUCUCUGCCUCUCUCUGUGUGUGUCUCUCAUGAGUAAAUAAAUGAAAUCUUAAAUAAUAAUAAUAAUAAUAAUAAUAAUAAUAAUAAUAAUAAUUGGU